AAAACAGGGACGAACGCUGGCGGCGUGCCUAACACAUGCAAGUCGAACGGAGAAUUUUAUUUCGGUAGAAUUCUUAGUGGCGAACGGGUGAGUAACGCGUAGGCAACCUGCCCUUUAGACGGGGACAACAUUCCGAAAGGAGUGCUAAUACCGGAUGUGAUCAUCGUGCCGCAUGGCAGGAUGAAGAAAGAUGGCCUCUACAAGUAAGCUAUCGCUAAAGGAUGGGCCUGCGUCUGAUUAGCUAGUUGGUAGUGUAACGGACUACCAAGGCGAUGAUCAGUAGCCGGUCUGAGAGGAUGAACGGCCACAUUGGGACUGAGACACGGCCCAA
Molecule: ribosomal RNA, 331 nt
Filed under: uncultured Phascolarctobacterium sp.
Lineage: Bacteria; Bacillati; Bacillota; Negativicutes; Acidaminococcales; Acidaminococcaceae
Description: bacterial SSU rRNA
Rfam family: Bacterial small subunit ribosomal RNA
Source: RNAcentral